ACGGGUGUAGCUCAGGGGUAGAGCAUUUGACUGCAGAUCCAGCAGUCCCUGGUUCGAAUUCAGGUGCCCCCU
This 72-nucleotide transfer RNA is filed under the name Loxodonta africana (African savanna elephant). It matches the Rfam family "tRNA". Rfam says of the family: Transfer RNA (tRNA) molecules are approximately 80 nucleotides in length. Their secondary structure includes four short double-helical elements and three loops (D, anti-codon, and T loops). The record is from Rfam by way of RNAcentral. Lineage: Eukaryota; Metazoa; Chordata; Mammalia; Proboscidea; Elephantidae.